RNAcentral lists this ribosomal RNA (765 nucleotides) under Ferrisia terani. RNAcentral describes it as "eukaryotic LSU rRNA". It matches the Rfam family "Eukaryotic large subunit ribosomal RNA", at positions 406 to 944 of the family's 3401-position model. The record is from RNAcentral. Lineage: Eukaryota; Metazoa; Arthropoda; Insecta; Hemiptera; Pseudococcidae.
CGUUCGGGGGUAAACGGACAGAGCCCGUGAAUCCGGGCGACGGAAUUCAGAAUCGACGAUGUUCGCGCGUCGUCGGUUUGAUAUUUCCGUCGCCGUGACAAUGUACGGACGUCGCGACCCGUUCGGUGUCGGUCCGAGGAGACGUGUAAAAGUUCGCCGACGUUGCGUCCAUUCGUGGGUGCGCGUCGACGAGUGCGCGUUCUUGUUUUCUGGCCGACUCGCCGGACGGUACGCGUAACGGUGGCCGCGGCGACCUUUUUUCGAGCGUCGUCGUCGGUACCGGUCUGCGACGAAUCUUCGGGCCUCUUUCCGACCCGUCUUGAAACACGGACCAAGGAGUCUAACGUGCGCGCGAGUCGCGGGGUGUCGAGCGGUUGGCGGCGUUCCUUGUGGGCGUCGUCGGCCGUUCGUUACAAUACGAAACCCGUCUCGUUUUACGAAAGGCGCAAUGAAAGUGAAAUUUUUUGGGGAAGAUGACGUUACCGAGUUCACGUUUCGCGCUCUGUGUAGCGCGGCCGGUCGUCCGCAUUCCCAGGGCGUCUCAACGGCCCGGCGGCGUUGCGGAUCGUCGUUCCUUCGGGGGCGGCGGUCGGGCGUCGUCGAACCGAGGCGCACCUAUAGCGUGCACGUUGGUACCCGAAAGAUGGUGAACUAUGCCCGGCCAGGAUGAAGUCAGGGGAAACCCUGAUGGAGGUCCGCAGCGAUUCUGACGUGCAAAUCGAUCGUCUGAGCUGGGUAUAGGGGCGAAAGACUAAUCGAACCAUC